Molecule: transfer RNA, 68 nt
Filed under: Iphiteon panicea
Lineage: Eukaryota; Metazoa; Porifera; Hexactinellida; Hexactinosida; Dactylocalycidae
Description: tRNA-Arg
Source: RNAcentral
CUAUUAGUAGUUUAAAAAAAACAAUAAACCUCGAACUUAAAAACAUAGCACACAACCUAUCUAAUAUA